This 491-nucleotide ribosomal RNA is filed under the name uncultured bacterium. RNAcentral describes it as "partial 16S ribosomal RNA". It matches the Rfam family "Bacterial small subunit ribosomal RNA", at positions 29 to 506 of the family's 1533-position model. The record is from RNAcentral.
AGUGAACGCUGGCGGUAGGCCUAACACAUGCAAGUCGAACGGCAGCACAGUAAGAGCUUGCUCUUACGGGUGGCGAGUGGCGGACGGGUGAGGAAUACAUCGGAAUCUACUUUUUCGUGGGGGAUAACGUAGGGAAACUUACGCUAAUACCGCAUACGACCUACGGGUGAAAGCAGGGGAUCUUCGGACCUUGCGCGAUUGAAUGAGCCGAUGUCGGAUUAGCUAGUUGGCGGGGUAAAGGCCCACCAAGGCGACGAUCCGUAGCUGGUCUGAGAGGAUGAUCGGCCACACUGGAACUGAGACACGGUCCAGACUCCUACGGGAGGCAGCAGUGGGGAAUAUUGGACAAUGGGCGCAAGCCUGAUCCAGCCAUACCGCGUGGGUGAAGAAGGCCUUCGGGUUGUAAAGCCCUUUUGUUGGGAAAGAAAAGCGGCAGGUUAAUACCCCGCUGUUCUGACGGUACCCAAAGAAUAAGCACCGGCUAACUUCGU